ACCGAGGUGGCUCAGUUGGUUGAGCAUCUGACUUCAGCUCAGAUGAUCCCACAGUU
This 56-nucleotide transfer RNA is filed under the name Felis catus (domestic cat). RNAcentral also lists the same sequence under 2 other names. Lineage: Eukaryota; Metazoa; Chordata; Mammalia; Carnivora; Felidae. The record is from Rfam by way of RNAcentral.